Molecule: ribosomal RNA, 374 nt
Filed under: uncultured eukaryote
Lineage: Eukaryota
Description: partial 18S ribosomal RNA
Rfam family: Eukaryotic small subunit ribosomal RNA
Source: RNAcentral
CAAGAGCGUAUGUAAAAGUUGUUGCAGUUAAAAAGCUCGUAGUUGAACCUUGGGUUUGGUUGGCCGGUCCGCUUCUUUGCGAGUACUGGAUUCAACCGAGCCUUUCCUUCUGGCUAACCAGUCGUUUCGGCGGCUGGCGAACCAGGAUUUUUACUUUGAGAAAAUUAGAGUGUUCAAAGCAGGCAUUAGCUUGAAUAUAUUAGCAUGGAAUAAUAGAAUAGGACGUUAUGGUUCUAUUUUGUUGGUUUCUAGGACCAUCGUAAUGAUUAAUAGGGACGGUCGGGGGCAUCAGUAUUCAGUUGUCAGAGGUGAAAUUCUUGGAUUUACUGAAGACUAACUACUGCGAAAGCAUUUGCCAAGGACGUUUUCAUUAA